AUACGUAGGGGGCAAGCGUUGUCCGGAGUGACUGGGCGUAAAGGGCGCGUAGGCGGCUAAAAAAGUCAGGUGUAAAAGGCACCGGCUCAACCGGUGAUAAGCAGCUGAAACUAGGUAGCUAGAGUACAGGAGAGGAGAUCGGAAUUCCUGGUGUAGCGGUGAAAUGCGUAGAUAUCAGGAAGAACACCAGUGGCGAAGGCGGAUCUCUGGACUGGGACUGACGCUGAGGCGCGAAAGCGUGGGUAGCAAACAGGAUUAGAUACCCUGGUAGUCCACGCCGUAAACGAUGGAUACUAGGUGUAGGCGAGAAAACGUCUGUGCCGGAGUCAACGCAAUAAGUAUCCCGCCUGGGGAGUACGGCCGCAAGGCUGAA
RNAcentral lists this ribosomal RNA (373 nucleotides) under uncultured bacterium. Its description in RNAcentral is "bacterial SSU rRNA". It matches the Rfam family "Bacterial small subunit ribosomal RNA", at positions 523 to 898 of the family's 1533-position model. The record is from RNAcentral.